GCCGGGCAUGGUGGCUCACGCCUGUAAUCCCAGCACUUUGGGAGGCUGGGGCAGGUGGAUCACCUGAGGUCAGGAGUUCGAGACCAGCCUGACCAACAUGGUGAAACCCUGUCUCUA
This 117-nucleotide non-coding RNA is filed under the name Pan paniscus (pygmy chimpanzee). The record is from Rfam by way of RNAcentral. Lineage: Eukaryota; Metazoa; Chordata; Mammalia; Primates; Hominidae. RNAcentral also lists the same sequence under 1 other name.